AUCUGUCGUUUUAACUUCUUUAAUUCACCUAUCUGGACGUCUCACCUUCUCUUCUACAAACUUCACCUGCUUCUCUCUUUCUCUCUCUCUGUCCUCCCAGCGAAGAGCUUCUUCUCUGUAAAUUUCAAGCCCUGCGAUAUAGCCAAGUUUGAGUCUUUCAGUCUCCGCCAGCAAUAAGUUUUCCAUCCGAGAGAAGCUGCGACUCAGAGUCGCUUGAGCUUGACGGAGGACACGUGGCAGAAAUUCUUUGAUCCAGGUCGCUGUACGCUGUUGACGCUGUGUUCUGGAAUGGUAUUCGUGAUUGUUAUAUCGGUGCCGUUGCUGCUCCUAGCGGCGAUCCUGGCCAUAGCCUGUUACUUAAUGGGCCGGGCUUACUGGACUCGCCGGGCUGCGCAAUAUUACGGCCCACCUGCACCGCCUCCGGUCCCCCAACCUAAAGUAUGAGCCUAAAUGAAGAGAAGGAGAACUACACUUAUUAUGUGAUGUGAGGAGGUUGUGAAUUCUAUUUUGUUAUGAAGGUAUUUGAGGUUUGUGAAUA
Dendrobium catenatum is the source of this 538-nucleotide long non-coding RNA. RefSeq lists it as uncharacterized. NCBI's taxonomy places the organism in Eukaryota, Viridiplantae, Streptophyta, Magnoliopsida, Asparagales, Orchidaceae. The record is from RefSeq and is a predicted model, not a curated record. The transcript is spliced from 2 exons.